CACGCCGUAAACGAUGGAUACUAGGUGUGGGAGGUAUCGACCCCUUCCGUGCCGCAGCUAACGCAAUAAGUAUCCCGCCUGGGGAGUACGAUCGCAAGGUUGAAACUCAAAGGAAUUGACGGGGGCCCGCACAAGCGGUGGAGCAUGUGGUUUAAUUCGAUGCAACGCGAAGAACCUUACCAGGUCUUGACAUCCAACGAAUCCUGAUGAAAAUCGGGAGUGCCUUCGGGAGCGUUGAGACAGGUGG
RNAcentral lists this ribosomal RNA (247 nucleotides) under uncultured Syntrophomonadaceae bacterium. RNAcentral describes it as "partial 16S ribosomal RNA". It matches the Rfam family "Bacterial small subunit ribosomal RNA", at positions 796 to 1041 of the family's 1533-position model. Lineage: Bacteria; Bacillati; Bacillota; Clostridia; Eubacteriales; Syntrophomonadaceae. The record is from RNAcentral.